RNAcentral lists this ribosomal RNA (136 nucleotides) under Erinaceus europaeus (western European hedgehog). The record is from RNAcentral. Lineage: Eukaryota; Metazoa; Chordata; Mammalia; Eulipotyphla; Erinaceidae.
GUCUAUGGCCAUACCACCCUGAACAUGUCCAAUCUCAUCUGAUCCUGGAAGCUAAGCAGGGUUGGACUUUGUUAGUACUUGGAUGGGAAAAGUCUCAGUCCAAAGUAGGUGACUAGGGGAAGAAAUGCCAUGGGAG